AUGGUGCAAAGUUUUCCGGGAAAUGCAGCGAAGGCACUUGCAAAAAUGCGUCACGAGUCGACUCGUUCUUGGUGAAGAUGUGUGGCGACAAGGAUAUCCCGACUUACGGGCAUAGAGGAAACAGGAUUCUGCCAAAAUCGUGUAUGUACGGAUGUGGACCAUACAAGAACGGUAGACUGCAUUACGGACAUCUUCCAGAUGGAGUCGGAUGUUGGGCCCGAAGUUCCAUAAAUCGGUCAUACAACCCUGGGUCGUAUUACAGGGGGAAGUGCAGCAACGGAGUCUGUCAAUAGCUUCAUCUGGCCAAGAACACUUCUCUGGAUGCCGUCAUUCGACUAGUGCAGUGUUGAGUCAUUCAAUAAAGACCUUAGUGAAAGGGU
Long non-coding RNA from Ornithodoros turicata, 380 nucleotides. RefSeq lists it as uncharacterized. The transcript is spliced from 3 exons. Lineage: Eukaryota; Metazoa; Arthropoda; Arachnida; Ixodida; Argasidae. The record is from RefSeq and is a predicted model, not a curated record.